This 205-nucleotide ribosomal RNA is filed under the name uncultured bacterium. Its description in RNAcentral is "partial 16S ribosomal RNA". It matches the Rfam family "Bacterial small subunit ribosomal RNA", at positions 524 to 723 of the family's 1533-position model. The record is from RNAcentral.
UACGUAGGGUGCAAGCGUUGUCCGGAAUUAUUGGGCGUAAAGAGCUACGUAGGCGGUCUGUCGCGUCUGCUGUGAAAACUCAGGGCUUAACCCUGAGCUUGCAGUGGGGUACGGGCAGACUAGAGUGCGGGUAGGGGAGACUGGAAUUCCUGGGUGUAGCGGUGAAAUGCGCAGAUGUCAGGAGGAACACCCGGUGGCGAAGGCG